UUUGUCCCGGCAGCAGCAGCCCGCAGCUCUAUCCCAUUUUCUGUGUCUAGAGGGAAGGAAGCGGACUCUAUCUGGUAGGUUUAGUUCAGUGUGGCACCGGCUUACCCUUCUCUCCAGGACAACGCCUAGCGAAGGGUGGAGGAGUCCCGGAGUUGUCCGAAAGAGUUGUGAAGACAACAGACAACUCCAUGACAACCCAAAGUACCACAGGGAAAUGAAAAGCUGUGGAUUCUUUCAAAGUUAAUUAAGAUUGGGUUUGACAAUGGAAGACCUCCAGAAAAUCUUGGCUGCUGAUGUGGAAAAAGAGACCCAGAAGAACAACCAAACAGCAAAGCGUUUAUUGCAUCUUGAAGAGGAGAGCUCAACUUGGAAUUUCUAUCGCUACAGGAUCAGAUGUGUUUGUGGCCAAGAUAGCGUGACCGAUGGCUAAAGGGCUAAAGAUCACCUGGAUAUUAAAUAGGGCAUAAGGCCCUCAGAGCUCUGGGCUGGGGGAGCAUAAGAAUCAGACACUGAAGUUAUUAGACUUACCGCUACCAAACAAUUCUUUACUUAGAUUAUAGGUGCCCUCCUCCCAUUGUUAGCAUGGGGGAUAUUAGGAUAAUAUCACUUUAAGAUAACACAUGAGGGGUUGGGGAUUUAGCUCAGUGGUAGAGCGCUUGCCUAGGAAGCGCAAGGCCCUGGGUUCGAUCCCCAGCUCCGAAAAAAAAAAGAACCAAA
RNAcentral lists this long non-coding RNA (717 nucleotides) under Rattus norvegicus (Norway rat). RNAcentral describes it as "long non-coding RNA NONRATT025091". The stretch from base 631 to 699 matches the Rfam family "tRNA". The record is from RNAcentral. Lineage: Eukaryota; Metazoa; Chordata; Mammalia; Rodentia; Muridae.